UACAGAGGGGGCAAGCGUUGUUCGGAAUUACUGGGCGUAAAGGGCGCGUAGGCGGCCUGUUAAGUCGAACGUGAAAUCCCCGGGCUCAACCCGGGAACUGCGUCCGAUACUGGUAGGCUUGAAUUCGGGAGAGGGAUGCGGAAUUCCAGGUGUAGCGGUGAAAUGCGUAGAUAUCUGGAGGAACACCGGUGGCGAAGGCGGCAUCCUGGACCGAGAUUGACGCUGAGGCGCGAAAGCCAGGGGAGCAAACGGG
RNAcentral lists this ribosomal RNA (253 nucleotides) under uncultured bacterium. RNAcentral's name for it is "partial 16S ribosomal RNA". It matches the Rfam family "Bacterial small subunit ribosomal RNA", at positions 524 to 776 of the family's 1533-position model. The record is from RNAcentral.